GUUGUAAUAAGCCAUAUUCACAAACCCUGCCCCCUCGCCCAUCUCAACUCAUUCAUUUUCUUUUCGGAUUCAUUGAGUCCAAUAUGUUUUAUGAUGUUUUUCAGUCCUUGAUUGAAGUUUCUCUACUAAUUGCUUAACUCUUUCAUAGGAAGUGCAUAUUUCAUAGGAAAUGACCUUAUGUUCCCAAUCAAUAUCUUCUGUGUGAUUCGUGUUCAUGUAGUGUUGAAUAGUUAACAUAUCACUCUCAUCCACAUACAUUGCAUUAGCAUCAUUAAUUGGUUACAUAAUCAAAUUAGAAACUUUAGAGUCUUGUUUUCAUUUGUGCAAACAUCAUAAAUUGGAGAAUUCGAAUCUGUGACAGUAUUACCAAUGGCAGAGAUCAUUUUCUUCUUGAUCUUCCUAACAAUCCGAAUCUGCAACGUUCUUUAAGUUGUCUCUUUAGUUCAUCCACCUCCAAAUCAUGGACUUGACUCUCAUGAGCGUAGAUUCAAUGACCACAAAAAGGCAUUACUUUGCAUCUGAUAUGAAGCACAUGAAAGUAGGAGUAAUUUAUGUAACUGAGUUGUAGGCAGAAUGGUCACCAUCGAUAGUUAGUUCAUAUCCUUAAGUAUACAACUCAGAAAGACGUGGAACAAAAUGAAGUGUAAAAAUUAAAACUUCUGAACUUCUAUUUUGGGUAGAAUCAAUCAAAAUGGAGAACGAAGCAAUUGCUUUGAAAGCCUAUAGAAAUCAUGACCUGAUCAUUUUCCGAAAUUAAUGAAUCAUUGGGAUAUAAGCCACCACUCUUUGGAUAUGGCACAAAUGAACUCACCACUCUCUGGAGUCUACCAAAGUGAAAUCAACUAAAGAAAUAAACAACAAAAUAAGAAAGUAGAAGGGUUAUUCAAUUUCAAUUGCUUUAUAAAAGUCUAAAAGACUUGGCUGGGAAUUAAGUGUAUUCUUGGAAUUCCAACAACUCUAAGCUAUUUGGCUUCAGUUGAUCAUAUGUUAUUGUCGAAGUACCCAAAUUAAAUGACACAUGAAGAAAUGCAUGCAAGACUUACAUGUGUUUCCAUGGACAAUUGAUUAAUCUGAUUUGGGCUUAAAGUGAAAGCCAAAACAUGUUGGAAAAAUUUGAGCUUGUUCUCGUACACUGGCAGCAAUAAGGCCAUUUUCACGUUCUUUUACUUGGCUACUUGUUAGGCUGUUUCAUGGAAUGCACGUGACAUCAAUAUGCACCAACUUCUCAUAGUUAUAAGACUAUAAAGGAU
RNAcentral lists this long non-coding RNA (1250 nucleotides) under Carica papaya (papaya). RNAcentral describes it as "long non-coding RNA (CPAP_LNC007244)". Lineage: Eukaryota; Viridiplantae; Streptophyta; Magnoliopsida; Brassicales; Caricaceae. The record is from RNAcentral.